AUCGCUUCUCAGCCAUUUGGCUAAGAUCAAGUGUAGUAUCUGUUCUUAUUAGUUUAAUAUCUGAUAUUACUGUAUCUGAGAAAGCAAUAUUAAGUGCAUUUUUAGAACUAGGAGAUGGACUGUGAGCUUGUUCUAUCUACUACAUGCAUCAUUCUGGUAUUGCAGUACUUCCAGGAAAGGUGUACUACCG
Molecule: small nuclear RNA, 190 nt
Organism: Nycticebus coucang (slow loris)
Lineage: Eukaryota; Metazoa; Chordata; Mammalia; Primates; Lorisidae
Product: U2 spliceosomal RNA
Exons: 1
Source: RefSeq, a predicted model, not a curated record